This 288-nucleotide ribosomal RNA is filed under the name uncultured Pseudomonas sp. Its description in RNAcentral is "partial 16S ribosomal RNA". It matches the Rfam family "Bacterial small subunit ribosomal RNA", at positions 1095 to 1382 of the family's 1533-position model. The record is from RNAcentral. Lineage: Bacteria; Pseudomonadati; Pseudomonadota; Gammaproteobacteria; Pseudomonadales; Pseudomonadaceae.
GGCGCAACCCUUGUCCUUAGUUACCAGCACGUUAUGGUGGGCACUCUAAGGAGACUGCCGGUGACAACCGGAGGAAGGUGGGGAUGACGUCAAGUCAUCAUGGCCCUUACGGCCUGGGCUACACACGUGCUACAAUGGUCGGUACAAAGGGUUGCCAAGCCGCGAGGUGGAGCUAAUCCCAUAAAACCGAUCGUAGUUCGGAUCGCAGUCUGCAACUCGACUGCGUGAAGUCGGAAUCGCUAGUAAUCGUGAAUCAGAAUGUCACGGUGAAUACGUUCCCGGGCCGUU